This 680-nucleotide long non-coding RNA is filed under the name Nicotiana benthamiana. RNAcentral describes it as "long non-coding RNA (NBEN_LNC041210)". The record is from RNAcentral. Lineage: Eukaryota; Viridiplantae; Streptophyta; Magnoliopsida; Solanales; Solanaceae.
GAGGAUGAGGAGAAUAAGGUGUUCUAAUUCCUCAUGGGCCUUAAUGAGACAUAUAUGGGGGUAAGGAGCAACUUGCUGAUGAUGCAGCCUCCCCCUACCCUUGACAGUGUCUAUAACAUACUCCUCAAUGAUGAGAAACAAAGACAAGUCCAGUCCAUCUCCCAGUUCAAUAUUGAUUCUAUGUCUUUCACUGUCAACACAAACAAAAAUUCUACACCUUCUUUUGGAAUGAAUCAAGUUUCAGUGCCCAGCCCUUCUCCUCUCAGACAGUAUACACAAAAAGUUAAUUUUGACCAAAUCAGAGGACCUCUAUUCUGUAGAUACUGCAAGAAGUCUGGGCACGUAAUUGAUAAGUGUUACAAGCUUCAUGGGUAUCCACAAAGCACCAAGUUUAACAAAGGGAAGAGAACUGUUGCUGCUCAUAUAACCACUGGUGCUGAUUUCACCUCUUUUGAAGGAUACACAUCUAAUCCUCCUGGAAAUUCCACUGAGGGUCAUCAAUCUAUCCCAAAUAUGGAUGGACAAGGAUCUGUAAUCCCAAUUUCACCUCUUCUGAAGGACACACAUCUGAUGCUCAUGGAAAUCCCACUGAGGGUCAACAACCUGUCCCAAAUGUGGAUGGACAAGGAUCUGUAAUCCCAGGCUUGAACAUACAACAAUAUGAUCAGCUGAUGACUCUG